RNAcentral lists this ribosomal RNA (490 nucleotides) under Salmonella enterica subsp. enterica serovar Typhi. RNAcentral's name for it is "partial 23S ribosomal RNA". It matches the Rfam family "Bacterial large subunit ribosomal RNA", at positions 37 to 566 of the family's 2925-position model. Lineage: Bacteria; Pseudomonadati; Pseudomonadota; Gammaproteobacteria; Enterobacterales; Enterobacteriaceae. The record is from RNAcentral.
CAGUCAGAGGCGAUGAAGGGCGUGCUAAUCUGCGAUAAGCGCCGGUAAGGUGAUAUGAACCGUUAUAACCGGCGAUACCCGAAUGGGGAAACCCAGUGUGAUUCGUCACACUAUCAUUAACUGAAUCCAUAGGUUAAUGAGGCGAACCGGGGGAACUGAAACAUCUAAGUACCCCGAGGAAAAGAAAUCAACCGAGAUUCCCCCAGUAGCGGCGAGCGAACGGGGAGGAGCCCAGAGCCUGAAUCAGCAUGUGUGUUAGUGGAAGCGUCUGGAAAGGCGCGCGAUACAGGGUGACAGCCCCGUACACAAAAGCGCAUAUGCUGUGAGCUCGAUGAGUAGGGCGGGACACGUGGUAUCCUGUCUGAAUAUGGGGGGACCAUCCUCCAAGGCUAAAUACUCCUGACUGACCGAUAGUGAACCAGUACCGUGAGGGAAAGGCGAAAAGAACCCCGGCGAGGGGAGUGAAAAAGAACCUGAAACCGUGUACGUA